CAAUAUUUAACAAUAAUAUUCAUUGUACCUACUAUCAAGAUUUAUUGUACCUGAACCUGAGCAUAUUGCAGCUUUGGUGGAGUUUCACAUCACAUUAAUUUGUCAAUAUAUGUAGUAGAAAUACAUAUAAUAUAAACCCAAAAAUUUAGAAUAGCAUUCUUUAGUAAAUACACAUCAUAAGCAAAUAAAUUGAAAACUACAAUCAAGUUUACCUUGAGAGGAAAUAAAGUAAAAACACCUAUGAUUCUUUAUUGCCUCUUGAUCAAAGUUCAAAGAGAUAUGAGAUACUUUUCGUGGUUGAGAGAAAAGAAAACAGAGGGCGGUUUUGUUAGGCCAAAAAAAAAAACCAAAGCAUAUGAUUUAAGGUUAAUUGGUACAAUUCGACCAAAAAAAAAAAGGGUAAGUAGGCAAAGAGAAUGCAAGAGGGGUGAAGAUAUAUCAUUAAAUAACAAUAUGUAUUUUUUUAUUAGUUUAUUAUAUUAGAGUCAACCCAAAAAAAUUGGACUAAUAUUAAACAAAGGCAAGUUACAGUGUUUGGCAAAAAAAAUAUUCAACAAAGGCAAGGGGGGUUGGCUAAAAUUUUUGGGGAGUAGAAAUAGAUUAUAAAAUUUGGACCCCCUUUAGUUUUCUAUAGAUUUUGCACUGGGCUACAGCCCACUUAAGCCUGUGAACAGUACCGUCCUUGAUCAAAGUGAAGAAAAUUAAAGAAACAAAUGCUGCAAAAAAUUAGUAAGAGGACACACAAGAAAGAAAAUUCACGUUCAACCAUCAAGUGGGAUGCUAGAUUACCUAUAUAUCCUAGGUGGGUCAAAUCGACGUAAUUCAUUUGAUUGGAUGGUUUUGUACAAGUUUGGUUUUGGAGUGGAGUCCUUUUGUAUCAUCUGGCUUUUAUUUGAUGGCUUUAGAAUUAAUGGGAAUUUUUGGAUUUGAGUUUAUUAAUUCAGAAAUUACGAAUUUUAGAAUUUCAGGACUAAUCGUUUCCAAAUUGAAAUUUUGUCUUUCGAUGGAGAUUUUAAUAAGUUUUUUUUUUUAUUUUUUCACAAAAUGUUCCUGAGGUUCACAAGCCUAUCAUGCUGCAUCCUUUUUAUUAUUUUGUGUCAUUGGUGGUCUUUAAGGUUAACAUAUACGUGCUCACAAGUUAUCC
This 1144-nucleotide long non-coding RNA is filed under the name Prunus persica (peach). RNAcentral describes it as "long non-coding RNA (PPER_LNC005944)". Lineage: Eukaryota; Viridiplantae; Streptophyta; Magnoliopsida; Rosales; Rosaceae. The record is from RNAcentral.